UUGUGCUAUGGACGGACUGUUUCUUGAAAAUAUAUGGCUCCUGUGGGGAAUUUUUUGCAUACAAAGAAAAUGACAAGGAUUCUGGCUCUCUCACUUUUCCUUCCUCAUUUCUUUAUCUAGUUUAACUUCUUAAUUGUACAAAAUGGAGUAGGAGAUUGAGCUGCUGUGGAGAAACUAUACUUGUGCAUGAUAACUAUUUUUCCAUGAAUUUGUAGUUUUGGCUCUUACACAUAAAAGGGUUUCAUGAUCU
Molecule: unclassified non-coding RNA, 250 nt
Filed under: Hevea brasiliensis (rubber tree)
Lineage: Eukaryota; Viridiplantae; Streptophyta; Magnoliopsida; Malpighiales; Euphorbiaceae
Source: RNAcentral